Molecule: transfer RNA, 72 nt
Filed under: Camelus bactrianus (Bactrian camel)
Lineage: Eukaryota; Metazoa; Chordata; Mammalia; Artiodactyla; Camelidae
Also listed under: 3 other names
Rfam family: tRNA
About the family: Transfer RNA (tRNA) molecules are approximately 80 nucleotides in length. Their secondary structure includes four short double-helical elements and three loops (D, anti-codon, and T loops).
Source: Rfam by way of RNAcentral
GUGGGUAGCGCUCAGUGAUAGAGUUCAUGCCUCGUAUGCACUAGGUCCUGGGUUCAAUCCCUAGUAUCUCCA